AAAGUUGUUUACUUAACUUUUUUUUCUUCCUGUAUUUUUCCUUUUCUUUUUUUAGCAAAACGUUUUAAACGUUCGUCACGUGUAGAAUCGCAUUAAUGUAACACGUAAACCUAUCCAUGUAAGUACAUGUAAGUACGUGUAUAUGUAUACAUAUUGAAGAAGAAGAAGAAGAAGAAGAGAAGCUAGUGUAAGAGUGCUUUUAUCAGUGAGCUGUGAUUGGUACUGCCCUAUGACCUCUUCCGAGGAAUGGCUCCGCCUCUCGUUUACGCAUCGACAUACACGCAUUAAAAGAGAAACGAAUUUCCUUGCUCGUAGUAAGUAAGUACGUACGUCUGGAUAAAUAUGUCCUCUGUGUUAUUUGUCGCCUUUGAAAAUCAACAUGGCGGUAUAUUUUUCUCAUGGCCGUAGAUACCAAUUGUUACAAUUGUUAUUAUGAUGAAGAUUUUCUUUUUUUUUUUUUUUUUUUUUUUUUUUUUUUUUUUUUUUUUUUCUACAAUUGUUACGACAGUUUAGAAAUCAUAGCUUCAAAGUCAUUUUCAUCAUGAGAAAGAAUAUUGAUAGGAUUUAUAUUACAUGUACGAUUAGAUUUGAUAUUUUAUACGUUUAUAUACGUAAUAAGCAACAACAACAACAACAACAACAACAACAACAAUAACAACAACAAGGAAAAAAAAAAAAAGAAGAGGAAAGAGAUAUUUUAUUAAUCAUAUCGGAGAACGAAAAUUUUCCAUGAAUCGUUAUCUUAGAAUGAUUAGACUUGAUAGUUAAAAAGGCGCUUGUUUACUUGAUGUUAUGUGAUGCAAUACUGGGUCAUACGAUGCCGUCGCGUCGCUUCGAGAAUGUGCUGCGCAUGCAUUCGACUGACCGACCGAUAAACGACGUUCCUAAAAAAUAUGUCUAAAGGAAAAUCAUUAUUUAUUUGGGAAAUCAUUUUAAAAGAAUACAAAUUAAUUUAUAUUACUGAUCUAAGGCAUGAUUUCACGUCAUUCUAUUCUUUAUAAAAACAAAACAAAACAAAACAAAGUGAAACAAUAAAAAGGAAGGAAAAAUUGAUUUCAAUCAGUUUCAAUGUAGGUAUCAUUACUCUCUACUGUACUAAAAUAUAAAAAUGAUUCUUAUAGACAGAUAUCAAAUUUAUAAUUAAUG
This is a long non-coding RNA of Vespa velutina, 1146 nucleotides long. RefSeq lists it as uncharacterized. The transcript is spliced from 4 exons. NCBI's taxonomy places the organism in Eukaryota, Metazoa, Arthropoda, Insecta, Hymenoptera, Vespidae. The record is from RefSeq and is a predicted model, not a curated record.